GACGAACGCUGGCGGCGUGCUUAACACAUGCAAGUCGAGCGGUAAGGCCCUUUCGGGGGUACACGAGCGGCGAACGGGUGAGUAACACGUGGGUGACCUGCCCUCAGCUCUGGGAUAAGCCUGGGAAACCGGGUCUAAUACCGGAUAUGACUCCAUGACGCAUGUUGUGGGGUGGAAAGCCUUGUGCGGCUGAGGAUGGGCCCGAGGCCUAUCAGCUUGUUGGUGGGGUGAUGGCCUACCAAGGCGACGACGGGUAGCCGGCCUGAGAGGGCGACCGGCCACACUGGGACUGAGACACGGCCCAGACUCCUACGGGAGGCAGCAGUGGGGAAUCUUGCGCAAUGGGCGAAAGCCUGACGCAGCGACGCCGCGUGAGGGAUGACGGCCU
This 388-nucleotide ribosomal RNA is filed under the name uncultured bacterium. Its description in RNAcentral is "bacterial SSU rRNA". It matches the Rfam family "Bacterial small subunit ribosomal RNA", at positions 28 to 417 of the family's 1533-position model. The record is from RNAcentral.